AUGCACGCUGGCGGCGUGCCUAAUACAUGCAAGUCGCGCGAACGGACGAGAAGCUUGCUUUUCUGAUGUUAGCGGCGGACGGGUGAGUAACACGUGGAUAACCUACCUAUAAGACUGGGAUAACUUCGGGAAACCGGAGCUAAUACCGGAUAAUAUUUUGAACCGCAUGGUUCAAAAGUGAAAGACGGUCUUGCUGUCACUUAUAGAUGGAUCCGCGCUGCAUUAGCUAGUUGGUAAGGUAACGGCUUACCAAGGCAACGAUGCAUAGCCGACCUGAGAGGGUGAUCGGCCACACUGGAACUGAGACACGGUCCAGACUCCUACGGGAGGCAGCAGUAGGGAAUCUUCCGCAAUGGGCGAAAGCCUGACGGAGCAACGCCGCGUGAGUGAUGGAGGUCUUCGGAUCGUAAAACUCUGUUAUUAGGGAAGAACAUAUGUGUAAGUAACUGUGCACAUCUUGACGGUACCUAAUCAGAAAGCCACGGCUAACUACGUG
RNAcentral lists this ribosomal RNA (496 nucleotides) under uncultured bacterium. RNAcentral's name for it is "partial 16S ribosomal RNA". It matches the Rfam family "Bacterial small subunit ribosomal RNA", at positions 29 to 507 of the family's 1533-position model. The record is from RNAcentral.